CCUACGGGGGGCCGCAGUGAGGAAUAUUGGUCAAUGGGCGCGAGCCUGAACCAGCCAAGUAGCGUGAAGGAUGACUACCCUACGGGUUGUAAACUUCUUUUAUAAAGGAAUAAAGUGAGGCACGUGUGCCUUUUUGUGUGUACUUUGUGAAAAAGGAUAGGCUAACUCCGUGCCCGCAGCCGCGGUAAUACGGAGGAUCCGAGCGUUAUCCGGGUUUAUUGGGUUUAAAGGGAAGGUAGAUGGGUUUUUAAGGCAGUUGGGAAAGUUUGCGGGUCAACCGUAAAAUGGCAAUUGAUACUGGCAGUCGUGAGUACAGUAGAUGUAGGCGGAAUGCGUGGUGGAGCGGUGAAAGGCUUAGAUAUCACGAAGAACUCCGAUUGCGAAGGCAGCGUACUAAACUGCCACUGACAUUGAUGCUCGAAAGUGAGGGGAUCAAACAGGAUUAGAUACCCCUGUAGUC
RNAcentral lists this ribosomal RNA (460 nucleotides) under uncultured bacterium. RNAcentral describes it as "partial 16S ribosomal RNA". It matches the Rfam family "Bacterial small subunit ribosomal RNA", at positions 338 to 795 of the family's 1533-position model. The record is from RNAcentral.